This 76-nucleotide transfer RNA is filed under the name bacterium. Its description in RNAcentral is "tRNA-Thr". It matches the Rfam family "tRNA". From Rfam's summary of the family: Transfer RNA (tRNA) molecules are approximately 80 nucleotides in length. RNAcentral also lists the same sequence under 5 other names. The record is from RNAcentral.
GCUGGUGUAGCUCAGCUGGUAGAGCAGCUCACUCGUAAUGAGCAGGUCUGCGGUUCGAGUCCGCACACCAGCUCCA